AUGCUUCACCUCCGAACCAGGUACCCGCAUAUGGCAACGAGGCGGGAUUUCUGCUUUUACCCCAUUGUGACAGAAGUAGGAAUGCAACCUUCUCCCGCUAUCCAAGGAGAUGACCCCGCAAUCGCUCGCCUGGUGCAAUAUAUCACUGCCCAGGGGAUGAUGAUUGCCAAGAUGCUUGCCGAUUUUAGAGCCAUGGACAAUGAUGUGGUACGAGUCGUCAAGGAAGCUUACCGCGAGGCUCGUAAAUUCGCAUCUCAAGCCAUCCGAACCGGUGCUACCCUCUCAGCCUGUGUUGUGGCCUAG
Molecule: ribosomal RNA, 303 nt
Filed under: Triticum aestivum (bread wheat)
Lineage: Eukaryota; Viridiplantae; Streptophyta; Magnoliopsida; Poales; Poaceae
Description: partial small subunit ribosomal RNA
Source: RNAcentral